GAUGAACGCUGGCGGCGUGCCUAAUACAUGCAAGUCGAGCGAACGGACGAGAAUCUUGCUUCUCUGAUGUUAGCGGCGGACGGGUGAGUAACACGUGGAUAACCUACCUAUAAGACUGGGAUAACUUCGGGAAACCGGAGCUAAUACCGGAUAAUAUUUUGAACCGCAUGGUUCAACAGUGAAAGACGGUCUUGCUGUCACUUAUAGAUGGAUCCGCGCUGCAUUAGCUAGUUGGUAAGGUAACGGCUUACCAAGGCAACGAUGCAUAGCCGACCUGAGAGGGUGAUCGGCCACACUGGAACUGAGACACGGUCCAGACUCCUACGGGAGGCAGCAGUAGGGAAUCUUCCGCAACGGGCGAAAGCCUGACGGAGCAACGCCGCGUGAGUGAUGAAGGUCUUCGGAUCGUAAAACUCUGUUAGUAGGGAAGAACAGAUGUGUAAGUAACUGUGCACAUCUUGACGGUACCUAAUCAGAAAGCCACGGCUAACUACGUG
RNAcentral lists this ribosomal RNA (497 nucleotides) under uncultured bacterium. RNAcentral's name for it is "partial 16S ribosomal RNA". It matches the Rfam family "Bacterial small subunit ribosomal RNA", at positions 28 to 507 of the family's 1533-position model. The record is from RNAcentral.